ACGGGAGGCAGCAGUGGGGAAUAUUGCACAAUGGGCGAAAGCCUGAUGCAGCGACGCCGCGUGAGCGAAGAAGUUAUUCGUAAUGUAAAGCUCUAUCAGCAGGGAAGAAAAUGACGGUACCUGACUAAGAAGCUCCGGCUAAAUACGUGCCAGCAGCCGCGGUAAUACGUAUGGAGCAAGCGUUAUCCGGAUUUACUGGGUGUAAAGGGAGCGUAGACGGAAUUGCAAGUCUGAUGUGAAAUUCCGGGGCUUAACCCCGUACCUGCAUUGGAAACUGUAAUUCUGGAGUGCCGGAGAGGUAAGCGGAAUUCCUAGUGUAGCGGUGAAAUGCGUAGAUAUUAGGAGGAACACCAGUGGCGAAGGCGGCUUACUGGACGGUAACUGACGUUGAGGCUCGAAAGCGUGGGGAGCAAACAGGAUUAGAUACCCUGGUA
This 434-nucleotide ribosomal RNA is filed under the name uncultured Lachnospiraceae bacterium. RNAcentral's name for it is "bacterial SSU rRNA". It matches the Rfam family "Bacterial small subunit ribosomal RNA", at positions 341 to 792 of the family's 1533-position model. The record is from RNAcentral. Lineage: Bacteria; Bacillati; Bacillota; Clostridia; Lachnospirales; Lachnospiraceae.